Molecule: unclassified non-coding RNA, 443 nt
Filed under: Hevea brasiliensis (rubber tree)
Lineage: Eukaryota; Viridiplantae; Streptophyta; Magnoliopsida; Malpighiales; Euphorbiaceae
Source: RNAcentral
AUGGGACCUUCUUUCAACGCUGGCAAAAGAUUGGAUAUCUGCGCCAUCCCCAAUGUGUCUAGUGGUCAACGGCAGCGUCGAAAGCUCACAACAGGAUUCAAUAAUGCGUUCCCAUCCACCAGUCCAGACGGAAAGAGAUUAGUUUUUCGAUCUACAAGAGAUGGAGGGGAAAAUAAAUACAAGAAUCUAUACAUAAUGGAGGAUGCAGAAGUAGGGGAAUAUGGGAAUGGCAAAAUAACAAGGCUAACAAAUGGGCCUUGGACCGACACACAUUGCCAAUGGUCCCCAACUGGAGAUUGGAUAGUAUUCUCAUCAACCCGCGAUAAGCCUAAAGAUGCACCAGAAACUGACAAUGAUCUCGACCCAGGAUACUUUGCAGUGUUUUUAGUAAAGGCCAACGAUCCAUCAGUUGUGGUAAGAGUGAUAAAAAGUGGAGAUGAUCU